GACGAACGCUGGCGGCGUGCUUAACACAUGCAAGUCGAACGAAGAGCGAUGGAAGCUUGCUUCUAUCACUCUUAGUGGCGAACGGGUGAGUAACGCGUAAUCAACCUGCCCUUCAGAGGGGGACAACAGUUGGAAACGACUGCUAAUACCGCAUACGAUCUAACUUCGGCAUCGAGGAAAGAUGAAAGGUGGCUUGUAUGUAUAAGCUAUCACUGCAGGAGGGGAGUGCGGUUGAUUAGGUAGUUGGGGGGGUACAGGGCGACCAAGGGGAUGAUCAGUAGCCGGUCGGAGAGGAGGGACGGCCACAUUGGGACUGGGGCACGGCCCAAACUCCUAAGGGCGGCAGCAGUGGGGAAUCUUCCGCAAUGGACGAAAGUCUGACGGAGCAACGCCGCGUGAGUGAUGACGGCCUUCGGGUUGUAAAGCUCUGUUAAUCGGGGCGAAAGGCCUUCUUGCGAAUAGUGAGAAGGAUUGACGGUACCGGAAUAGAAAGCCACGGCUAACUACGUG
RNAcentral lists this ribosomal RNA (510 nucleotides) under uncultured bacterium. Its description in RNAcentral is "partial 16S ribosomal RNA". It matches the Rfam family "Bacterial small subunit ribosomal RNA", at positions 28 to 507 of the family's 1533-position model. The record is from RNAcentral.